CCCUUAGAUGUUCUGGGCUGCACGCGCGCUACACUGAAGCGUUCAACGAGUAUUCACCUUGCCCGGGAGGGUUGGGUAAUCUUUUGAAAACGCUUCGUGAUGGGGAUAGAUUAUUGAAAUUAUUAAUCUUGAACGAGGAAUUCCUAGUAAACGCAGAUCAUCAAUCUGCAUUGAUUACGUCCCUGCCCUUUGUACACACCGCCCGUCGCACCUACCGAUUGGAUGGUCCGGUGAAGCCUCGGGAUUGUGGUUCUUGCCGCUUUAUUGUGGCGUGACCGCGAGAACUUGUCUAAACCUUAUCAUCUAGAGGAAGGUGAAGUCGUAACA
Molecule: ribosomal RNA, 327 nt
Filed under: uncultured eukaryote
Lineage: Eukaryota
Description: partial 18S ribosomal RNA
Rfam family: Eukaryotic small subunit ribosomal RNA
Source: RNAcentral